This 376-nucleotide ribosomal RNA is filed under the name uncultured organism. Its description in RNAcentral is "partial 16S ribosomal RNA". It matches the Rfam family "Bacterial small subunit ribosomal RNA", at positions 527 to 896 of the family's 1533-position model. The record is from RNAcentral.
GUAGGUGGCAAGCGUUGUCCGGGAAUUAUUGGGGCGUAAAGCGCGCGCAGGCGGUCCUUUAAGGUCUGAUGUGAAAGCCCACGGGCUCAACCGUGGAGGGUCAUUGGAAACUGGGGGACUUGAGUACAGAAGAGGAAAGCGGAAUUCCACGUGUAGCGGUGAAAUGCGUAGAGAUGUGGAGGAACACCAGUGGCGAAGGCGGCUUUCUGGUCUGUAACUGACGCUGAGGCGCGAAAGCGUGGGGAGCAAACAGGAUUAGAUACCCUGGUAGUCCACGCCGUAAACGAUGAGUGCUAAGUGUUAGGGGGUUUCCGCCCCUUAGUGCUGCAGCUAACGCAUUAAGCACUCCGCCUGGGGAGUACGGCCGCAAAGGCUG